This 375-nucleotide ribosomal RNA is filed under the name uncultured bacterium. RNAcentral's name for it is "bacterial SSU rRNA". It matches the Rfam family "Bacterial small subunit ribosomal RNA", at positions 525 to 896 of the family's 1533-position model. The record is from RNAcentral.
ACAUAGGCACCAAGCGUUGUCCGGAUUUAUUGGGCGUAAAGAGCUCGUAGGCGGUUCGGUAAGUCGGGUGUGAAAACUUUGGGCUCAACCCAAAGCCUGCAUCCGAUACUGCUGUGACUAGAGUUCGGUAGGGGAGCGGGGAAUUCCUAGUGUAGCGGUGAAAUGCGCAGAUAUUAGGAGGAACACCGGUGGCGAAGGCGCCGCUCUGGGCCGAUACUGACGCUGAGGAGCGAAAGCGUGGGUAGCAAACAGGAUUAGAUACCCUGGUAGUCCACGCCGUAAACGUUGGGCACUAGGUGUGGGUUCCAACCAACGGAAUCCGCGCCGUCGCUAACGCAUUAAGUGCCCCGCCUGGGGAGUACGAUCGCAAGAUUA